This is a non-coding RNA of Caenorhabditis elegans, 45 nucleotides long. Lineage: Eukaryota; Metazoa; Nematoda; Chromadorea; Rhabditida; Rhabditidae. The record is from Rfam.
CCAACGGCCCUCUUUAGGGCCACAAAUCUAAAAUCCUAAUUUUCU